ACUCCUACGGGAGGCAGCAGUAAGGAAUAUUGCGCAAUGGGCGAAAGCCUGACGCAGCGACGCCGCGUGGGGGAUGAAGGUCUUCGGAUUGUAAACCCCUUUCGGGAGGGAAGAUGGAGCGAGCAAUCGUUCGGACGGUACCUCCAGAAGCAGCCACGGCCAACUUCGUGCCAGCAGCCGCGGUAAUACGAAGGUGGCAAGCGUUGUUCGGAUUCACUGGGCGUACAGGGUGUGUAGGCGGUUUGGUAAGCCUUCUGUUAAAGCUUCGGGCCCAACCCGGAANGCGCAGAGGGUACUGCCAGGCUAGAGGGUGGGAGAGGAGCGCGGAAUUCCCG
Molecule: ribosomal RNA, 335 nt
Filed under: uncultured Nitrospira sp.
Lineage: Bacteria; Pseudomonadati; Nitrospirota; Nitrospiria; Nitrospirales; Nitrospiraceae
Description: bacterial SSU rRNA
Rfam family: Bacterial small subunit ribosomal RNA
Source: RNAcentral